This 253-nucleotide ribosomal RNA is filed under the name uncultured bacterium. Its description in RNAcentral is "partial 16S ribosomal RNA". It matches the Rfam family "Bacterial small subunit ribosomal RNA", at positions 524 to 776 of the family's 1533-position model. The record is from RNAcentral.
UACGUAGGGUGCGAGCGUUGUCCGGAAUUAUUGGGCGUAAAGCGCACGUAGGCGGCUUUUUAAGUCAGGGGUGAAAUCCCGGGGCUCAACCCCGGAACUGCCCUUGAAACUGGAGAGCUAGAAUCUUGGAGAGGCGAGUGGAAUUCCGAGUGUAGAGGUGAAAUUCGUAGAUAUUCGGAAGAACACCAGUGGCGAAGGCGACUCGCUGGACAAGUAUUGACGCUGAGGUGCGAAAGCGUGGGGAGCAAACAGG